GAUGAACGCUAGCGGCAGGCCUAACACAUGCAAGUCGAGGGGUAACAGGAAAAAGCUUGCUUUUUCGCUGACGACCGGCGCACGGGUGCGUAACACGUAUGCAACCUACCCUUAACAGGGGGAUAGCCCAGAGAAAUCUGGAUUAAUACCCCAUAACAUCUCAAAUUCGCAUGUUUUUGAGAUUAAAACUCCGGUGGUUAAGGAUGGGCAUGCGGCCCAUUAGUUUGUUGGUGAGGUAACGGCUCACCAAGACUACGAUGGGUAGGGGGUCUGAGAGGAUGAUCCCCCACACUGGUACUGAGACACGGACCAGACUCCUACGGGAGGCAGCAGUGAGGAAUAUUGCGCAAUGGACGAAAGUCUGACGCAGCCAUGCCGCGUGCAGGAAGACGGCCCUACGGGUUGUAAACUGCUUUUAUUUGGGAAGAAACCCUCCUACGUGUAGGGGGCUGACGGUACCAAACGAAUAAGCACCGGCUAACUCCG
This 486-nucleotide ribosomal RNA is filed under the name uncultured Cryomorphaceae bacterium. Its description in RNAcentral is "bacterial SSU rRNA". It matches the Rfam family "Bacterial small subunit ribosomal RNA", at positions 28 to 505 of the family's 1533-position model. Lineage: Bacteria; Pseudomonadati; Bacteroidota; Flavobacteriia; Flavobacteriales; Cryomorphaceae. The record is from RNAcentral.